This 561-nucleotide ribosomal RNA is filed under the name uncultured bacterium. RNAcentral describes it as "partial 16S ribosomal RNA". The record is from RNAcentral.
ACGGCUACCUUGUUACGACUUCACCCUAAUCAUCUGUCCCACCUUAGACGGCUGGCUCCAAAAGGUUACCCCACCGGCUUUGGGUGUUACAAACUCUCAUGGUGUGACGGGCGGUGUGUACAAGGCCCGGGAACGUAUUCACCGCGGCAUGCUGAUCCGCGAUUACUAGCGAUUCCGACUUCAUGUAGGCGAGUUGCAGCCUACAAUCCGAACUGAGAACGGCUUUAAGAGAUUUGCUAAACCUCGCGGUCUUGCGACUCGUUGUACCGUCCAUUGUAGCACGUGUGUAGCCCAGGUCAUAAGGGGCAUGAUGAUUUGACGUCAUCCCCACCUUCCUCCGGUUUGUCACCGGCAGUCUUGCUAGAGUGCCCAACUUAAUGCUGGCAACUAACAAUAAGGGUUGCGCUCGUUGCGGGACUUAACCCAACAUCUCACGACACGAGCUGACGACAACCAUGCACCACCUGUCAUUUUGUCCCCGAAGGGAAAGUCCUAUCUCUAGGAUUGGCCAAAGAUGUCAAGACCUGGUAAGGUUCUUCACGUUGCUUCGAAUUAAACCAC